Molecule: non-coding RNA, 217 nt
Organism: Pelobates cultripes (western spadefoot toad)
Lineage: Eukaryota; Metazoa; Chordata; Amphibia; Anura; Pelobatidae
Source: the annotation of a GenBank genome assembly
CUGGGAUCAUGUAAUAGAGAGCAUGGUGUCUGGGAUCCUGUAAUACAGAGAGCAUGGUGUCUGGGAUCCAGUAAUACAGAGAGCAGGGUGUCUGGGAUCAUGUAAUAGAGAGCAUGAUGUCUGGGAUCCUGUAAUACAGAGAGCAGGGUGUCUGGGAUCCUGUAAUACAGAGAGCAGGGUGUCUGGGGUCCUGUAAUACACAGAGCAUGGUGUCUGG